Molecule: ribosomal RNA, 300 nt
Filed under: uncultured Candidatus Solibacter sp.
Lineage: Bacteria; Pseudomonadati; Acidobacteriota; Terriglobia; Bryobacterales; Solibacteraceae
Description: bacterial SSU rRNA
Rfam family: Bacterial small subunit ribosomal RNA
Source: RNAcentral
CACGUGGAUAAUCUGCCCUUUAGUGGGAAUACCGUUGGGAACCGACGACAAUACCGCAUAAUCCCGAGAGGGGAAAAAAGCAGCAAUGCGCUGAAGGAGGAGUCCGCGGUCGAUUAGCUAGUUGGUGGGGUAAAGCCCCAACAAAGGCUGUGAUCGAUAGCCGGCCUGAGAGGGCACACGGCCACACUGGCACUGAAACACGGGCCAGACUCCUACGGGAGGCAGCAGUGGGGAAUCUUGCACAAUGGGGGAAACCCUGAUGCAGCGACGCCGCGUGAGCGAUGAAGCCCUUCGGGGUGU